This 253-nucleotide ribosomal RNA is filed under the name uncultured bacterium. Its description in RNAcentral is "partial 16S ribosomal RNA". It matches the Rfam family "Bacterial small subunit ribosomal RNA", at positions 524 to 776 of the family's 1533-position model. The record is from RNAcentral.
UACGGAGGGUGCAAGCGUUAUCCGGAUUCACUGGGUUUAAAGGGUGCGUAGGUGGCCUGUUAAGUCAGGGGUGAAAGACGGUAGCUCAACUAUCGCAGUGCCCUUGAUACUGAUGGGCUUGAAUGAACUAGAGGUAGGCGGAAUGUGACAAGUAGCGGUGAAAUGCAUAGAUAUGUCACAGAACACCAAUUGCGAAGGCAGCUUACUAUGGUUUGAUUGACACUGAGGCACGAAAGCGUGGGGAUCAAACAGG